GAGUUUGAUUAUGGCUCAGGAUGAACGCUAGCGAUAGGCUUAACACAUGCAAGUCGAGGGGCAGCAGGGACUUCGGUCCGCUGGCGACCGGCGCACGGGUGCGUAACGCGUAUGCAACUUGCCCUGUAGAGGAGGAUAACCCGCUGAAAGGCGGACUAAUACUGCGUACUCUCAUCGGAUGGCAUCGUUUGAUGAGGAAAGAAAUUCGCUACAGGAUAGGCAUGCGUCCCAUUAGCUAGUUGGUGAGGUAACGGCUCACCAAGGCGACGAUGGGUAGGGGAACUGAGAGGUUUAUCCCCCACACUGGUACUGAGACACGGACCAGACUCCUACGGGAGGCAGCAGUGAGGAAUAUUGGUCAAUGGGCGAGAGCCUGAACCAGCCAAUUCGCGUGAAGGAUGACUGUCUUAUGGAUUGUAAACUUCUUUUAUAGGGGAAUAAUAAUUAGUACGUGUGCUAAGUU
This 463-nucleotide ribosomal RNA is filed under the name Porphyromonas sp. canine oral taxon 361. RNAcentral describes it as "bacterial SSU rRNA". It matches the Rfam family "Bacterial small subunit ribosomal RNA", at positions 9 to 470 of the family's 1533-position model. The record is from RNAcentral. Lineage: Bacteria; Pseudomonadati; Bacteroidota; Bacteroidia; Bacteroidales; Porphyromonadaceae.